GAUGAACGCUGGCGGCGUGCUUAACACAUGCAAGUCGAACGAUGAAGCCCAGCUUGCUGGGUGGAUUAGUGGCGAACGGGUGAGUAACACGUGAGUAACCUGCCCUUAACUCUGGGAUAAGCCUGGGAAACUGGGUCUAAUACCGGAUAGGAGCGUCCACCGCAUGGUGGGUGUUGGAAAGAUUUAUCGGUUUUGGAUGGACUCGCGGCCUAUCAGCUUGUUGGUGAGGUAAUGGCUCACCAAGGCGACGACGGGUAGCCGGCCUGAGAGGGUGACCGGCCACACUGGGACUGAGACACGGCCCAGACUCCUACGGGAGGCAGCAGUGGGGAAUAUUGCACAAUGGGCGCAAGCCUGAUGCAGCGACGCCGCGUGAGGGAUGACGGCCUUCGGGUUGUAAACCUCUUUCAGUAGGGAAGAAGCGAAAGUGACGGUAACUGCAGAAGAAGCACCGGCUAACUACGUG
This 466-nucleotide ribosomal RNA is filed under the name uncultured bacterium. Its description in RNAcentral is "partial 16S ribosomal RNA". It matches the Rfam family "Bacterial small subunit ribosomal RNA", at positions 28 to 507 of the family's 1533-position model. The record is from RNAcentral.